Molecule: ribosomal RNA, 449 nt
Filed under: uncultured bacterium
Lineage: Bacteria
Description: partial 16S ribosomal RNA
Rfam family: Bacterial small subunit ribosomal RNA
Source: RNAcentral
GUGGGGAAUUUUGGACAAUGGGCGCAAGCCUGAUCCAGCAAUGCCGCGUGCAGGAAGAAGGCCUUCGGGUUGUAAACUGCUUUUGUACGGAACGAAACGGUCCUGGUUAAUACCCGGGGCUAAUGACGGUACCGUAAGAAUAAGCACCGGCUAACUACGUGCCAGCAGCCGCGGUAAUACGUAGGGUGCAAGCGUUAAUCGGAAUUACUGGGCGUAAAGCGUGCGCAGGCGGUGCUGUAAGACAGGCGUGAAAUCCCCGGGCUCAACCUGGGAAUUGCGCUUGUGACUGCAAGGCUGGAGUGCGGCAGAGGGGGAUGGAAUUCCGCGUGUAGCAGUGAAAUGCGUAGAUAUGCGGAGGAACACCGAUGGCGAAGGCAAUCCCCUGGGCCUGCACUGACGCUCAUGCACGAAAGCGUGGGAGCAAACAGGAUUAGAAACCCUUGUAGUCC